GGGGAAUAUUGCACAAUGGAGGAAACUCUGAUGCAGCAACGCCGCGUGGAGGAUGACGCAUUUCGGUGUGUAAACUCCUUUUAUGAGUCAAGAAAAUGACGGUAGCUCAUGAAUAAGCACCGGCUAACUCCGUGCCAGCAGCCGCGGUAAUACGGAGGGUGCAAGCGUUAUUCGGAAUCACUGGGCGUAAAGGACGCGUAGGCGGGAUGCCAAGUCUGAUGUGAAAUCCUAUGGCUUAACCAUAGAACUGCAUUGGAAACUGGCAACCUAGAGUAUGGGAGGGGGAGAUGGAAUUAGUGGUGUAGGGGUAAAAUCCGUAGAUAUCACUAGGAAUACCGAAAGCGAAGGCGAUCUCCUGGAACAUAACUGACGCUAAGGCGUGAAAGCGUGGGGAGCAAACG
RNAcentral lists this ribosomal RNA (401 nucleotides) under uncultured Sulfurimonas sp. RNAcentral's name for it is "bacterial SSU rRNA". It matches the Rfam family "Bacterial small subunit ribosomal RNA", at positions 356 to 774 of the family's 1533-position model. Lineage: Bacteria; Pseudomonadati; Campylobacterota; Epsilonproteobacteria; Campylobacterales; Sulfurimonadaceae. The record is from RNAcentral.